CGCUACACAAACGCUUCAGAUAUGUCGUACCAACAAGGCCAGAAGUCAGCCCUUGAUAAAAGAGCCAGUUGAACAAGUAAUUAACUGCAGGAAAAGAGAGAGUUGGGCUAGUUGGUUUGGGUUCAUUAUGAAGCAGCGCAAAAGACAAAAGACACAGAAGAUUUAACAACUCGAGAGCUGAAGCAAACGGCAAUGAGCGAGGUCAAAACUGCCGGAUUAGUGAAGUCGAGGUUGACACACAUAAAAGAGCCAGUUGAACAAGUAAUUAACUGCAGCAAAAAGGAGAGUUGGGCUAGUUGGUUUGGGUUCAUUUUGAAACAGCGCAAAAGACGAAAGACACAGA
Molecule: long non-coding RNA, 343 nt
Organism: Rhipicephalus sanguineus (brown dog tick)
Lineage: Eukaryota; Metazoa; Arthropoda; Arachnida; Ixodida; Ixodidae
Exons: 2
Source: RefSeq, a predicted model, not a curated record